This 6507-nucleotide long non-coding RNA is filed under the name Homo sapiens (human). RNAcentral describes it as "PREDICTED lncRNA (TCONS_00040160)". Lineage: Eukaryota; Metazoa; Chordata; Mammalia; Primates; Hominidae. The record is from RNAcentral.
GUUUAUUUAUGCUGUUUCUCCUUGCUAGAAUGAAAGUUCCCAAAAGGCAGGGAUCUGUUUUGGUCACUGCUUUAUCCUCCGUGCCCAUCAGUGCCCGGCACAUUCCUUUCCUUUGCAAAGGAAAUAAAUUAAUUAUUUUACAAGUUUCACAAUGGCCCUUUGAGGCAGGAACCUUAUUAUCACCCACUCAUUCAUUCAUUUAUUCAACAAAUAUUUAGUAAGUACCUACUAUGUGCCAGGUACUGCUCUGUGUAAUGUCCGUAAAUCAUCAGUGAAUUAAAAAAACAAAGACAGCCAGGUGUGGUGGCUCACGCCUGUAAUUCUAGCACUUUGGGAGGCCGAGGCAGGCAGAUUGCCUGAGCUCAGGAGUUUGAGACCAGCCUGGGCAACAUGGUGAAACCUCGUCUAUACUAAAAUACAAAAGAAAUUAGCUGGGUGUGGUGGCAGGCGCCUGUAGUCCCAGCCACUCGGGAGGCUAAGGCAGAAGAAUUGCUCAAACUCAGGAGGCAGAGGUUGCACUGAGCCGAGAUCAUGCCACUGCACUCCAGCCUGGGAGACACAGCGAGACUCUGUCUCUUUAAAAAAAAAAAAAAAAAAAAAAAAAGACAAAGACGAUGCCCUUGAGCUCACAUUCUAGUAGGGGGAGAGAGAUAAUAAGCAGUGAACAUAAUAGAAUGUAAAUUAUAUGGUGUGUUAAAAGGUGACAAGCUCUGUAGGAGGCAAAAAACAACAGGAAGAGGGAUUGUGAGGACAUGAAGGUUGCAAUUUUAAAUAGGGUGGUUGGGUGAAAAGGAGGCAUUUGGGCAAAUACUUGAAGGAGGUGUGGGAGUUAGCCAAAUGGAAAAGAGCUCCCAGAAAGAGGGACCAGUAAGUGCAAAGCCCUAGGGCCUGCAGCUGGGGUGGAGUGGGCCUGGAGGGGAGGAGGGGAGGCCAGAGGUCGGGGGAGAUCUGGUAGGACAUUGAAUGAGAAGGGAAGCCAUGCAAGGUCUGAGGAGGAGACAGAAUCUGACUUACAUUUUAGAAGGAUUGGUCUGUCUGCUGUGCUGAGAAUAGACCACAGUGGGGCAAGGUCAGAAGUAAUGACUACAGGGAGGAGCUGUUGCAGAAAUCCAGGUGAGAGCUCAGGCUGAGGACUGGGACCAGGUGGUAGCAAUGGAGGUGGGGAGAAGUGGACCAAUGCCAGAUGUAUUCUGAAGGAAGAGUGAAUGGGAUCCUUUAUGGAUUGGAUGGAAGGAGGUGAUAAAAGAAGAGGGGGUGCAGAGGAUGCCUACAAUGUUUUGUAGACAGUGACCCUGAGAUCUAGAGAAGAUGUAGUGUGAGGCCACACAGCUAGUCAGUGGGUGGGGGUGGAGGAGAGGAGGAUGGGACCAGGGUGGCGGGAAGGUCCUCAGGUCUAGGACAGCAUCUGGGAGAGGAUAGGGGGAAGGACUCUGGCAUAGCUGGUCACAAACCAGCCCCAGGGCAACUGAGCAUUGAUUUGAUCAAUGGCUUUUUCCUCUUCCCUUGAAUUCCCCUAUGAUGGCCUUUUAAUUGGGUCCAUUUGUUCCAAGGCCGUGGGCUGAGCUGAGCAGACGCCAAAUGAUAUGCCUAUUAUUAAAUAGAUUAGGAAAUGGCCCUACAUCUUGGGCGGCCAGAAAAACCAGAGUGACUGAACAGUGUCCCUGAGGAGUAACACGUGUAUUGUGGAAUACUGGAUGUAUUGCAGAAUCCCUUCCAGGCACCUUGCCUUUCCUAUGCUGUCCCUGCGUCUACAGAAUCCUUCUGACUUCCUUGCUCACCUGAAAUGUGUCUCCUCCUCCAAGAUUCACUUCAAAUCCCCUCCUCGGUGAAGGAGCUGAAGGAGCGCGCUAAUCGCCACCCCUCCCUCAGCCUGCCUGAGCUACUGCCACAGAGAACUCACACAUCUGCCUGGCAAGAGAUCCAACCUGAAUUGGAGGGUCUGCCCUAGGGGACACUGUCCAAGUCAGGGUUGUCCAGGGAACAGGAUUACCCAAAGAACAUUUAAAUAACAAUCCCACUUCAGUAAAAAAAAAAAAAAAGAUGUCUCCAUUUCCUGAGCUGGAGUCAAAAAGGGUGGCUGGGAGGCAGCAGAGAAGAGGAGUGAGUGUAAAUUCCGUGUGAUGGAAAUGAGUGGCAAUUUAAAUUCGACUGGAGAAAAAGAAAACUUUCAUGUCAGUAUCAAACUCAGACCAUUUUUAAAAAUCGGUUUCUUCCAUUUUAGACAUUAUAUACUGGUUUCCUUUUGUGAAAUGAGGCUUUAGUUCUCUUCCUUCUCUCAUUCUCCCAUUGCAAUUUUUGAUUAAAUAUUCAGUGCUUCCAUUUUUAUGAUGUCAAAAAUGUUGCUCACAGUGACAUCUUAGGGCAUUCUAUGUUUAUAUUUUCUUUCUUGCAUAACUUUUUGUUUUUCCUGGAAUUAAUAACUGCCUCACUGUACAUUCCUAAGAAGGACAUAUUCUAAGGACAAAGAGAACUAACUCUAAAGAAAUCUGAAGCAGUCUUUGUAAUCAUAUUACAAGUACGGUUACCCCUGAACAUCAUGGGCUUGAACUGCAUGGGUCCACAUAUAUGCAGAUUUUCUUCUGCCUCUGCCACUCCGGAGAUAGCAAGACCAAUCCCCACCUUCCACCUUUUCCUCAGCCUACUCAAUAUGAAGAUGAGAGGGAUGAAGAACUUUAUGAUGAUCCACCUCCACUUAAUGAGCAGUAAAUAUAUUUUCUCUUCCUUAUGUUUUCUUAAUAACAUUUUCUUUUCUCUAGCUUAAUUUAUUAUAAGAAUACAGUAUAUGAUAUAUGCAACAUACAAAAUAUGUGUUAAUCAACUAUUUAUAUUUUCGGUAAGGCUUUGGUCAACAGUAGAAUAUUGGUAGUUAAGUUUUGGGGGAGUCAAAAGUUAUAUGUGGAUUUUCAACUGCGUGAGGGGUUGACAUCCCUAACCCCUGCACUGUUCAAGGGUCAACUUUAAUACUAUUGAUGGUGUUAGUUUGAAACUAUUACAUGUAGUAGGAUAUAAUGAAAAUCUAAUUAUGUUAAUGUCACUGGAAACCAACAUUUUCAACAUAAGAGAAAAGAGAUACGAAUAUAAAAUCAAAGAAGAAAAAACUACUAUCAGUAUAGUCUUGGAUUUGGAAACAUCUGUAUAAACUCAUGAUGCUUUUUUCUCUUUAAAAAGUAUUCUCUAUUUCUAACUUCUAAAAAGGCCUGGGAACAAUAACUAGCCCUGUGAUGCUGAGCACCUCUAGUACCCGCUUCAAAGGUUCUAAAUGUAUUUCCUAUUAAAAGGAACAAGGGCUUCUUGGAGAAAUGGCUGAUUCUGGGUUCGUGGCAGGAAAUGCAUAAGAUGGGUUCAGAAUAUUUUGUCAUACAAAAAGCAAGUUGUCAGCACUACUAACGUUGUGUUUAAAGGACAUAAAAACCAACUUGAGGACUGUGCUGCACAAAGAUGGGGUAUUUUAAGUAUCAAAAAGAAUAAUGCCUACGAUGGAUUGAAACAUACAAAUCUGAAACUUGUGUUUCAAUCUAUGAGUUUAUAAUGAUACUAAGAGCAAACAAACAAGCAAACGUGUAGGUCUGUUCUGUAGGUUGGUAGCUUAUCAAUGUAUUAUUCUGAAAGGCAGGUUAAAAGGAAAAGAAUCUGUCUUUCCUAUACAAACUGUAUUUCAGAGUAACUAAAUAGACACCGAGGAAAAUUCUUCUUUACUGAACUCCAGCCAAUAAAUGAAGAAGGUAUCACAGAAUUAAAUAUCAUCAUUUUGCAUGCCCUAAUCAAUUAAUGCCUGUAGGCCUGGGGUGUCCAAUGUGGCAGCCACUACCCACAAGUGCCUACUGAACAUUUGAAAUGUGGCUUAUCGGAAUUGAUAUGUGGUAUAAGUGUAAAAUACACACUAGAUUUUUGAAGACUUAAUACAGAAAAGAAAGAUUGUAAAAUAUCUUGGUUUUUAUAUAAUAUUUUUGAUAUAACAGAUUAAAUAAAAUAUAUUAUUUAAAUUAAUCUCAGUAUUUCUGAUUACUUUUUUAAUGUGCUUACUUUAACAUUAAAAAAUAUACCUAUAUGCUUUGCUUUCUAUUUCUACAGGCAAGUCUGAGCAGUAAUCAUCCCAAUGGUUGCUAGUCUGAUAACACCAGAACCCAAUGGCCAAUAUUAACAUCACAAAAAAGAGAGAGAACUAGACAUUAUGUCCUGCUUUAUGGGGUACAAAGAAGUACACACCACCUCCUAUGAAGAAUUCAUAGGUGAACCUGAAUUUGAUCAAACCUCUAGAUCUAACUACCAGUUUUCAGAAAAUACAGGUGACUGAGGAAGUUGAGAUAGCAAUAGGUGAUGAAAUUAACCAAAUCCAGAAUUUGAGAACCUUUAUAGGAUACACGACUCAGUUUCUUUAAUGGCAAAUUAAAAAAAAAAAUAAGUGUGGAGGAGGAGUAGACAUCAGAAUGGAGGUCAAAGCCAAGGUUCCAUCUCUUCUCCCUGCUACAGAGAUAUGAGGCCCCAACUCCCUAAAUACUCAGAAGCCACCUCAGAGGAAACAGGGAGAAAAUCUGAAACAGAAGAGAGACUGGACAACAUUUUUCUCCAGCCCUCUGUGGGGCAGGCACACAUGAGAAUCAGCAGAUCUGUUACAGGCAACAAAGGAGCUGUGUUUUCUUGGGGUAUAUAUUCCCAAAGGCGAUGCCUGCUGGAAAUGACUCCUCUGGGCCUGCAUUUACUCUUGCUAGGUUGACAAGUUGUCUCCAUGGUGGGGAACCUGGCCUUGAUUGCUCUAAUUGGCUGAAAUUCAUACCUUCCCACCCCCAAGCUCUGUUUUCUUUCACCCAGUCCUUCCCUGAUCUCUAUUGUCCUGUUUGCACCCCCAGAAUGCUCAUGACUUUUGUAUCAAAGAAAAACAUCUUCUAUGUCAGGUGCAUGACUCAGCUGUUUCUUUCUCUUUAUUGUCCUCUCUAUAAAUACCACGUGUUGAUGUUCAUAGCCUGUGGUUGCUUUGUGGCCAUCUACAAUCCAUCAUUGCAUGAGGUCACCAUGUCUCCUCAGGUGAGAGAGAGAGAGAGACUGGAUUUGCUGGAACCACUCCCACACAGGGCACAUACUUAGGCCGACCUUUUGUAGUAUUGAUGUCAUCAACCAUCAUCUUAUGACAGCCUCUUGGUCCUCUAAGUUUCUUGUACCAGCACCUGUGCCAAUGAAGUAGUGGUUUUCACUGUGGUGGGUAUUAAUAGUACAGUAUCCAGUCUUUGCUUCUCUUACUUUCAUUUAACUUGCUCAAGGCAAACUAAAACCUUUCAGCACCUGCAGCUUUCACGUCAAUGCCAUUUCUGUUUUCUUUGAGUCAGUGGCAUUCAUGUAUCUCAAAUAUUUUUCUCCAGGGUCUAUGAACCAGGAGAUGUUGCUUUCUGUUUUCUGUUACAAUUUGAGGUCUGUGCUGAACUCCCUGUUUAAAGCCUGAGGAACAAGAAGAAUGCUGGUUAAAAAUCCAGGAAAGUGGUGAUAAUGUAGGGAGAUCUGUGAUGGUUAAUUAUAUGUGUCAACCUGACCGGGCUAACGAAUGCCCAGAUGGCUGGUAAAACAUUGUCUGUGAGAAUGCUUCUCAAAGAAAUUAGCAUGUGAGUAGGCGAACUGAGUAAAUCAAAUGGCCCUCCCCAAGGUGGGUAGUCAUCAUCCAACCCAUUGAGGAUGUGAAUUAAAGAAAAGGUGGAGAAAGGACAAAUUCACUCUCUCUUUCUCACUCUCUUUUUUUUUUUUUUUUUUUUUUUUUGAGACAGAACCUUGCUCUGUUGCUCAGGCUGAAGUGCAGUGGCGCAAUCUUGGCUCAUUGCUGCAAAUUCUGCCUCCUGGGCACAAGUAAUUCUCCCACUUCAGCCUCCUAAGUAGUUAGGACUACAGGCGUGGACCACCACCCCUGGCUAAUUUUUGUAUUUUUUUGUAGAGACAGGGUCUUGCCACAUUGCCCAGGCUGGUCUUGAACUCCUGGGUUCUUGAACUCCUGGGUUCCAGCAAUCUGCCUGCCUUGGCCUCCCAAAGUGUUGGAAUUAUAGGUGUGAGCCACUGCACCCCACUUUUUUUUAUUUUAGAAACAGAUGCUCUGUUUCCCAGAGCGAUCAUAGCUCACUGCAUAGCUCACUGCAGCCUCGAACUCCUGGGUUCAAGCAAUCCUUCCACCCCAGCCCUUGAGUAGCUAGGACUACAGGUGUGAACCACCACACUUGGCUAAUUUAAAAACUCUUUUUUAUAGAAACAAGGUAUCGCUUUGUUGCCCAGGCUGGUCUCGAACUCCUUGACUGCAGUGAUCCUCCCGCCUAGGUCUCCCAAAAUGUUUGGAUUAUAGGCAUGACCCACCGCACUCAGCAUGCUCUCUUUUUGAGAGGGAACAUCCACCUUCUCCUGCCCUUGGAAAUUGGGGUUCUGGUCCUUGGGCCUUCAGACUUGGCCUAAAUGACACCAACAGCUUUCCUGGUUUUCCAAUUUACAGACAGACAGUAGAUCAUGAGACUUCUCAGAUUCCAUAAUCCUGUGAGCCAG